AAUUACUUACAGCCAUUUAUUUUUCAGAUAAAUAGCUUCUUAACCCCAAUUUCCAUUUUUUUAGACCUCAAAUCAGGUGGGACUACCCGCUGAACUUAAGCAUAUCAAUAAGCGGAGGAAAAGAAACUAACAAGGAUUCCCCUAGUAACGGCGAGUGAAGAGGGAAAAGCCCAAAUUUGUAAUCUGGCACUUUUUAGAGUCCGAGUUGUAAUUUUAA
Molecule: ribosomal RNA, 217 nt
Filed under: Cronartium flaccidum
Lineage: Eukaryota; Fungi; Basidiomycota; Pucciniomycetes; Pucciniales; Coleosporiaceae
Description: partial 28S ribosomal RNA
Rfam family: Eukaryotic large subunit ribosomal RNA (bases 63-217)
Source: RNAcentral